GAAAUCCUGGAAUGUGCGAUACCCCUUCAGUUUUUGAACCUACAUCGACAUUAAGGGAAUCCAAUAUCGCAGAUGUAAUGUCAGACCUCUCGUUGUGGUAGGCAGCGCAUCCUGUUGAGGACACCCACCUGGCUGCGGCUAGGAGUCAAAAAGAAGGGAACGGCAUUCCGGGACUUCC
This 178-nucleotide non-coding RNA is filed under the name Candidatus Blautia excrementigallinarum. RNAcentral's name for it is "6S RNA". It matches the Rfam family "6S / SsrS RNA". Rfam says of the family: E. coli 6S RNA was the first non coding RNA to be sequenced, but its function was unknown until recently. The record is from RNAcentral. Lineage: Bacteria; Bacillati; Bacillota; Clostridia; Lachnospirales; Lachnospiraceae.